Bubalus bubalis (water buffalo) is the source of this 3713-nucleotide long non-coding RNA. RefSeq lists it as uncharacterized. The record is from RefSeq and is a predicted model, not a curated record. The transcript has 4 exons. Lineage: Eukaryota; Metazoa; Chordata; Mammalia; Artiodactyla; Bovidae.
UGUCUGACUUGGCACCACAGUGCACAGAGAGGACCUGGAUUUAAAGGCUGGUAUAGCACGUGCCCUGCAGGGAGGGGCAGGGAGCAGGCAGCAGGCGUGUGUGUGUGUGUGUGUGUGUGUGUGUAUGGAGAGAAUGUGAGCAAUGGGAGUGGCAGGCAAUGGGCAAAGGUCAAAUAUUAAAACAAAAUUGGCUGAGGAGCUUCGGCAGGACUGACGGUGGUGAGGUGACAGCCAUGAAGAGUCAGCCCGCAGGAGGAAGCAGUGCCCAUCGGGGACGGGACUAAAGAGGCAGAGAGUAGAGAAAGUGAAGUUAGACUCAGCACCCAUCUCUGCGAGCAGAUGCGAGCAGGCCCAAGGUGUCCAUCUGCCGCGGAGAAGAUUAGAAUGUGCUGCUGAAGUAACAAAGAAGAAGGAUAAGGAGACUGAUAACCCACGUCUGUCUACUCCCUCCCACUAUUGACUGAUUAAAGUCAAGGAGAAGAGGUUGAAUGAGUCAGAAGCUCCCCAGGCCUUUCCUGGCUCCUGUUUCUGCCUGGAGCCCUCUGUGGGAGAAGGCGGCGUGGAAGACAACAGUCUGGCUGUAGAAUUUUCACUCUGCUGCAUUAGGAAGGCAGACAGUAAGGAAAAGGUUCGCAGGAAAAGUCUUGAGGCUCUGGCUGCCCUUUUUGAUUUGUGCAUUAAUGCUGUGGAGUUGACAGCCUGCUUGCGAGAGGCUGAAGAGAUGUGUGUUCUGCACAUCUGAAAUUUAUUCCUUUUGCUCUGGAAGAUGGGACACCACAUAACAGCCAUGAAGAAGUAAUUUUGAUCCUGCAAUGAUCUUGGCACCAGUUCCAGAAAGACAUAUGGACAUAAUCUUUGGGACAUUUGUAGAACCUUCCCUUGAGAAGUGUCUUUGCAGGCUUGGGUUCACUUUAAGACCUAUGGCACUCACUUUAGCUUGGGUCUGUUUCUACUUAAGAGAUAAAAAGCUAAAUUGUAUUCCAUUGGAAGAACUAAAAAUAUUAAUGUAAGAGCAAGUCAUCAUUAUGACACAUAUCAAUUUCUCACCUCUGAGGCGGUACACAGAAGCAGGGCCCUGGAUAAUAACCCAGCCAUGAUUAGGAGAAAAGAGGUCUGGUGGAUCUCAGCACACACUGUGAAAAUAUGAGUUUUCACCAUGCUGGGAGCCAGCAUCUUCAGCUAUAAACUCAUAGAGAGGUGACGAACAAAAAUGUCUUCUUAGGAAUGAAAAUGUGCUUAAAUGUUAUUCUGUAACAAGCUAUUCUGAAAAUCUAGGACCCUACAUACCAGGUAUAUUUAAGGUAUAUUUAUUCAUAUAUUAUAUUAAUAUAUUUAUUUCUCACUGGAACAGAUUUCAAUCUAUAUACAUUUUUAUUUUAAAAUAGAUGAGAUAGCAUAAUAAAUCCAGCUAAGUUUCCCCUAAGUUUCUGUGUGGGUUUAGAAAGUAGCCACUUACUCAAUUUAAACUUCAUUUAUGGCCUUCAUUUAAUACUAGUCCUUUUUUUCCUUGAUAAGUCUAAUGCGGUGAUAGAAGAAACUCAGAAAAUAUCAAAGCUCAGCCCUAUGGAAAAUGACCACACCUGCCCCAAAAGUCACCCCUUAAAACUAGCUCCCAGAAGAAUGCCAGUUAAGAGGUCUGCUGGGAGCCAAUUUUUAUUCAUUUACUAGUGUUUUGUGAAUCCCCUUUGAGAAAAUUCUUCGGAGUUGUACUACUGGGAAAAGGAGAAAGAGACAAACUGCAGAGACAGACACUCCCUGGGGUAUGAGGUCUCCUUUGCUCCAUGGUUUUCCCCCAAGGAAACACUCAGAAUCACCUUGCUAAAAAAAAUUGACUUGGCUAAUGGCCAGCUUUAAAGGACAGGUUUUUGGUGGGUUUUUUUGUUUGUUUUGUUUUGUUUCAGUGGUCACUACACUAUCAAGAUCUAAGUAAAUGACUGUUCUAUGAACCUUGGCUGAGAAAAAUGAGUGACCACAAACUCUCCUGUAUUCCUUCUCAUCAUGGUUAUAUGUGAAGUCAGUCUUAUAGAAUCUGAUGAUAGAUCCAGAGACUUAUAGAUCUUAAAAAGUCUCAAGAAGUCACCUGGUCCAGCCUCCUGAUGCUCAAGGUUUGUGAAUAGCAUAUUGCAGGGAUGCUGGGACACCAGCUGGCUAUCAGGACUUCAGAUGAUGUUUGGGAAUGCAUGAACAAAAUCCCCCCCCACCCACAUCUGAGAAAGAAUGGAGGGAUAUGUGUUCAACAUGUCUAUAGCUUUCUUUUUGUGGCUGGAAACAAGACGGCCAAUGGGUCCUUAGUUUUAUCCAAGUAGGACAAACUUGUUUUCUUUGUUCUGGUCCAAACAAAUAAAUCAGGAAAGGGCUCUGAUUGAUCUUACUUUAGUCAGAUAUUUCCUUCCUUCAGGACCCAAGAAACCAUAGCUCUGUGUGUGUGUGUGUGUGCGCGCGCAGGUGCUCAUGUGUGUAUGUACACAAUAACCCUGGCUUGAUGGGUAUGUAACUUGUACAGUGCCAUAGGGACUUUUGCCUAGAAAGAUCUCAUGCUUGGCUAAAAGUUUUGCUAUUGCCACCUAGAAAUCCUCAGUAAUAUUUAGACAGUGGAUUCUGAAUUUUAAUUUUGCACUGGACCCCAUCAAUUAUGUAGCCAACUAUAGCAUGGAGUCCUGGCUCAACUUGUAAAUACUGAACCAGGUCACAGGGAUGGUAUGGGUGAAGAGGAAACAAUUCCUAGGAUCAGUGGGUAGAUGGUGGCCCGUACAGCUAGCACAGUUCCAAGAACUGAAAGGACAUGAAACAUGAAAGACAAGGUCCUUGCCCUCAAAAAUCUCAGUCUAGUAAGACAGAUUCUCUUUUUGAAAAGUUGUUUCUGCAAUAUCCACAUAGCCAAAUGAAUAUAUUUAUCUUGAGUGCUAAUGGGAACAUCUAAAUGCUGUAGGAAAGUGGAGGCGUCUCAAGAAAUUAAAAUAGAACUACCAUAUGAUCCAGUAAUUCCACUUCUGGGUACAUAGCCAAAGGAAACAAAAUUGCUAUCUUGAAAAGAUAUCUGUUCUAUGUCUAUUGCAGCACACAAUAGCCAAUGUAUAGAAACAACCUAAGCAUGUAUGUGUGUAUACACACACACACAAACACACAUACACACACACAUAUAUAUAGAGAGAGUUUAUAUAUGAAUAAUACUAGAUGGAAUAUUAUUACUUUUUAAAAAGAAAAUCCUGUCAUUUGUGACCAUAUGGGUGAAACUGAAGGAUAGAGAAAGACAAAUACUGCACAGUAUCACUUAUAUGUGGAAUCUUAAAAAAAAAAAAAAAAAAGGUUGAACUCAGAAACAAAGAGUAAAGAGGUGGUUGUCAAGGUCAUUGGGGGUGGAGGAAAUAGAAGAAGUAGGAAAAAGGGUACAAACUUUCAGUUGUAAGAUGAAUAAAGUCUGAGGAUCUAAUGUAUAGCCUGGAAACUCUAGUUGACAACACUGUUCUGUGUAAUCAAAAUCUGCUAAGAGUGUAGAACUUAAAUGUUCUCACCCCUCCCAAAAAAAGGUAAAUAUGUGAGAUGAUACACAUGUUAAUGAACUCAGUUAUGAGAAUUCCUUCACAAUGUAUCUGUAUACCACAUCAUCGUUUGUGCGUGUGUGUUUGUGUGUAUGUGUGUGCUCAGUCAAUGGCACCCCACUCCAGUACUCUUGCCUGGAAAAUCCCAUGGACGGAGGAGUCUGGUAGGCUGCA